Molecule: ribosomal RNA, 496 nt
Filed under: uncultured bacterium
Lineage: Bacteria
Description: partial 16S ribosomal RNA
Rfam family: Bacterial small subunit ribosomal RNA
Source: RNAcentral
AUGAACGCUGGCGGCGUACCUAAUACAUGCAAGUCGAGCGAACAGACGAGGAGCUUGCUCCUCUGACGUUAGCGGCGGACGGGUGAGUAACACGUGGAUAACCUACCUCUAAGACUGGGAUAACUUCGGGAAACCGGAGCUAAUACCGGAUAAUAUAUUGAACCGCAUGGUUCAAUAGUGAAAGACGGUUUUGCUGUCACUUAUAGAUGGAUCCGCGCCGCAUUAGCUAGUUGGUAAGGUAACGGCUUACCAAGGCAACGAUGCGUAGCCGACCUGAGAGGGUGAUCGGCCACACUGGAACUGAGACACGGUCCAGACUCCUACGGGAGGCAGCAGUAGGGAAUCUUCCGCAAUGGGCGAAAGCCUGACGGAGCAACGCCGCGUGAGUGAUGAAGGUCUUCGGAUCGUAAAACUCUGUUAUUAGGGAAGAACAAAUGUGUAAGUAACUAUGCACGUCUUGACGGUACCUAAUCAGAAAGCCACGGCUAACUACGUG